GGGGCUGUGCUCUGAGCACAGGAACAUCCCUCCCAUUCUCUUCACCCUUGUGACCCCAACCCACCAGACCAGCACACACCCUACAGCAGCUCUGCAACCCCAAACCCAUCCAUGGAGCCAGCAAACUGGUGCCACAUUCCUUCCCCUCCUUUAAGGGCUCCAAUUCCCUGAGCUGCCUGGAGAGAAACGGAGAGUGGACAUUUACUGUGUUUCCUUUACCAUCUGGGCUUAUUAAAAACUGCGCAGCAAAUUAAAAAUAGGUGGGAACAAAGAUGGGGGAAUGACAUAGAGGGCUGCAGAAAAUUCUCUGUGUACUUUUAAAAGCUGGAAUUGCCAUAUGGACUGGCAGAGAGACAUGUUUUACAUUUCCACUGGUACAUGACUGACAUCAUUUAGCAUUAACUUCUAUUUGAAUAAAAUGGUAGUAGACAUUUAGGUAAUAUUACAGGGCAAUAAAUGUUUUAAAGAGCCUUGGGGGGAUGCUCUUGAAACACAGUCCAGACCAGAACUCUAAAAAUAUGUCUUAAUAUAUAUUAACCUCUUUUAGGACUUUUGGCUCUCAAACAAAUAACGGAGUAUAGGUUUUUUUUUUCCCCCUCCCCUUUUUACUCUCGGAAUUAAGAGUCCCCAGCUAUAUUUUUUCCCUUUUUUCCUCUUCAGCUGUGCUGGGAAGAACAUGAGGGAAUGUAGUUAAAAUUCAAAAAGGUUCCCCUUUAUCAUUACCAUGAAUCAACACAAUAAAUGAGCCCCUUCAGAGCAUGGUAAUUAUAAUUUGAUAAAUCAUCAGCAGAAAAUUAACUGGAUGUCAAAACAUUCAUUGGGAAGUGUGAUGGAUUAGGGGCGAUAGUGGCAAUUAAUCUCCCAGCAUGAGUUCACAGGAGAGACUGAGAGCUGGGAGAUGGAUCGGGGGGAGACCACGGCCUCGCAAGGUCAGGACACUGUGGAAAGGAAUGGGAGAGGGAGAGAGAGAUGGAGGAAAGAAGAAAAAAUUCCACUGAGUCGGCGAUCCGCGGCCCCCAGCAGCCGAGGUAGAGGAGAAGCUACACAGAACAUUGCCAAAGUGUGAGAAAGUGACAGCACAUCCCUGCCUUCCAUGAGCCGGCUGUCAGUGGGACACACACAACCUGCACUGUUUAUACAGGCUCACAGCUUCACUGAACAGAAACUGACCUCCAUUGAGCUUCAUUGAUUUCAUUGAGCCAAAUACGCCGCUGGGUGUAAACAAGAUCCACCCUGCUCCUCCAAAAAGCACUGUGCAGCCUCUGCAAAGAAGAACCCCACAGCAGAGCCCAUAGCCACAACUGCUGGACUAUCAUCAUCCCCGUCCCCCUCCUCCCCAAGGACUGCUGCUCAAACUCACGUUCUUUCUGCCCCACGCAGCCAUAUGAAACUUGUCACUCAGACUUCAAAGGCGCUUUUUGCUCUCCCCUCCGCAGCAGUGACACAUUUUUGGCCAAGCACAUCACAUUAAUAGAAUUUGCUGUCAAACAAGAAGGCUUUCAAACAAUGGAAGGAUUGUACACUGUGCGGCACGGCUGAUGGGCAGAUCACCAGGUAACCUGAUGCAAGAGCUAUAAAACGCCUCAAAGAUGCACGCAAAAAGUGCAGAGUCUGGUUUUGCAAAGAGCUUUGUGGUUUGUAGGGGCUUGGGUUAUUUUUGGUAUAUACUUUAGAACAAACCUUGGCAUUGGACUUGUGUUUCCAAACCAAGCUUCAGUCCAAUAUGUGCAUUUCCUUAAUCAGAGCAUUGCUCCCUUGCUUUCUUCAGUGCUCCCUGCUUGGACCCACUGAGCAUAGAGAGUCCUGUGCUGCCCUUUACAGCAAGGCUGGAUAGUGUGGAGUGACUGCAACCACCUUUGGCGUCAUGCCACUGGACAGCCCUUAGAUAGAAAGGGGUGAUGGCCCAGGUUUCAGACACCAACCAAGGGCAGCACAGCCCCCUCCUCCCCCUGGACUGCACCCAACACAGAAGUUCUGAGCCCAAAACCUGAGCAUCAUCCAGCAGCACAAAGUGGCGCAGAGUGUGACUGACUGGAGAGAUGAAGAUAUUAAGCAUGUGUCUCUGUCAGUUAUGGCCAUUAUCAUUAGCAGACUAGCUACUAUUCCCUAUAUAUUCCUUUUAGAACCGUUUACAGCUGAAACAUUUUUAAUGGCUCGAUGAAUAUGAAUGCAACAUUUAUAACCAUUUACACAUAUGAGACUUUGGGGCACAUCCAUCUCUCAUAGCAGGCACAGAACCUCCCAUUACCGCGCUGUCACGCUGAAGAGGGGAUGGGGAGAAGAGGACCCCACUUUGUAGUGAAAGAUGAGGAUGUUAUUUCUGCCUGUUUUGUGGAACACAUGUUCAGAUAUCUCCUUUAUUGUCACCACAGACGACUCUCCCCGCCACGCACUUCUUUAGACUCUUUAUCCUUUCAUUAACAAUGGGAAAAUGCAGGCCGCUACAUCUGUUAGCAGCCAUAAUUUUAGACAAAUACAACUUCUUAUCAAAUAAGCCUGCAAUAAAUGUUUCAUGAACAGAACCCUUCA
Molecule: long non-coding RNA, 2529 nt
Filed under: Coturnix japonica (Japanese quail)
Lineage: Eukaryota; Metazoa; Chordata; Aves; Galliformes; Phasianidae
Description: lncRNA (ENSCJPG00005015164.1)
Source: RNAcentral